RNAcentral lists this small RNA (120 nucleotides) under Enterobacteria phage RB68. RNAcentral describes it as "rnaD". The record is from RNAcentral. Lineage: Duplodnaviria; Heunggongvirae; Uroviricota; Caudoviricetes; Pantevenvirales; Straboviridae.
UUAAGAAACCGGGUCGCUACCGGUAAGUCGUCGGACUGAUGUUCCCUGUUUAAGGACUGGCAUUAAUAAAUCUUUAUGUUUUGUUAAUGCCCCUUAUAUCACAGCAGAAACGGCGCACCG